AAUAGAUACCCAGGUAGUCCACGCCCUAAACGAUGUCUACUAGUUGUCGGGUCUUCAUUGACUUGGUAACGCAGCUAACGCGUGAAGUAGACCGCCUGGGGAGUACGGUCGCAAGAUUAAAACUCAAAGGAAUUGACGGGGGACCCGCACAAGCGGUGGAUGAUGUGGAUUAAUUCGAUGCAACGCGAAAAACCUUACCUACCCUUGACAUGGUCGGAACCCUGAAGAGAUUCGGGGGUGCUCGAAAGAGAACCGAUACACAGGUGCUGCAUGGCUGUCGUCAGCUCGUGUCGUGAGAUGUUGGGUUAAGUCCCGCAACGAGCGCAACCCUUGUCAUUAGUUGCUACGAAAGGGCACUCUAAUGAGACUGCCGGUGACAAACCGGAAGGAAGGUGGGGAGUGACGUCAAGUCCUCAUGGUCCCUUAGUGGGGUAGGGCUUCACACGUCAUACAAUGGUGCAUACAGAGGGUUGCCAACCCGCGGAGGGGGAGCCAACUCCCAGAAAGUGCAUCGUAGUCCGGAUUGCAGUCUGCAACUCGAC
RNAcentral lists this ribosomal RNA (542 nucleotides) under uncultured bacterium. RNAcentral's name for it is "bacterial SSU rRNA". It matches the Rfam family "Bacterial small subunit ribosomal RNA", at positions 777 to 1316 of the family's 1533-position model. The record is from RNAcentral.